GAUGAACGCUGGCGGCGUGCCUAAUACAUGCAAGUCGAGCGAACAGACGAGGAGCUUGCUCCUUUGACGUUAGCGGCGGACGGGUGAGUAACACGUGGGUAACCUACCUAUAAGACUGGGAUAACUUCGGGAAACCGGAGCUAAUACCGGAUAAUAUUUCGAACCGCAUGGUUCGAUAGUGAAAGAUGGCUUUGCUAUCACUUAUAGAUGGACCUGCGCCGUAUUAGCUAGUUGGUAAGGUAACGGCUUACCAAGGCAACGAUACGUAGCCGACCUGAGAGGGUGAUCGGCCACACUGGAACUGAGACACGGUCCAGACUCCUACGGGAGGCAGCAGUAGGGAAUCUUCCGCAAUGGGCGAAAGCCUGACGGAGCAACGCCGCGUGAGUGAUGAAGGUCUUCGGAUCGUAAAACCCUGUUAUUAGGGAAGAACAAACGUGUAAGUAACUGUGCACGUCUUGACGGUACCUAAUCAGAAAGCCACGGCUAACUACGUG
Molecule: ribosomal RNA, 497 nt
Filed under: uncultured bacterium
Lineage: Bacteria
Description: partial 16S ribosomal RNA
Rfam family: Bacterial small subunit ribosomal RNA
Source: RNAcentral